GUGGGUGAGCUCUAUGAGUUAUGACUGAUGUAAUGCCUUGAUAGGGAGUUCCGCUCCAUGAGAUUCCUCUUUUCCUUUUUCUCCCUCCGUUUUGAACGCAACAAAAGCGGCGAGACCAUGCCGCACUCUCUAUUUUGGACUGCUUUAAAAAUGCCCUCGAAACAGAAUUUUACGAGCUUAAACUCUUAAAAACUUACUUCUUUUGCAAAAAAAAUAUGCUCACAUAUAGGUACUUAUACAACAGUUUUCGGUGUAAAGAUGAAACCGCGUUUUCUGGUGGUUUUUUUAGGCCCCGCGGUUAGCUCUGUGUUUUUGGGGUGUUGAAACAGCAAGUGGGAAAGCACUAGCUGAUACCUACCUAACCAAAACUGGCAUUAUGAGUUAGCAAACGAGGCCAAGGUGCUACAAGCAACUAUUCGAGCUUUCAAGCCGCUCACUUUGCCUAAUUAAAAUAUUGAAGGCGAACUGGUCGGGAAUAGUGCGGAACAUGUGAAAAUUCACCAGAGACGCAGGGUCGCAGGAAAAUGAGCUAAUUGAAAUCUAUGGUCUAAUUGCUGCGCCUGUAAGGCACUUAGGCACGUGACAAGACAGGAGGAACAAAACAAUGUGCAAUUAAUGGAACAAAUUUAGCCUGAGUGACAAUUUUGAUCCAGAUCAAUGAUUCUUUUCCUCUCUCUCAGCUUGUUUGUAUAUGGAAAGGCCAAAGGCUGCUGUCCAAUGUCAACCAACAAUUGACUAAAUGCAGUAUGACGCAGUUCUGCCAAUAUGCGCAGAUACUGAAAACCAAUACCUUCUUCUGAGGGAUAUUGCUAAAUGUCUACUGCGUGUGACAGCCAGAAGUAAACAGCAACCAACUCAUCUAAUGAUACGCUAGUUCUAGGCUGAUUCUAAGUUAAUCAGCCUAAUUAAACUUACGGUCUCAGAAGACAGAUGGAGUCAAAAAAUUAUAGAAACAGAAAUUAAACAUGAAUUGUUAAUUCGUUAUCUUGUUAAAAUAUAACAGAUCGCAAGUAAAUGAGAUCAAACUAAAAAUAAACACAUUUUUCUCAAUGUA
Molecule: non-coding RNA, 1054 nt
Organism: Bemisia tabaci
Lineage: Eukaryota; Metazoa; Arthropoda; Insecta; Hemiptera; Aleyrodidae
Source: RefSeq, a predicted model, not a curated record